AUAGUGGAGUUUGAUUACCAGGCCCAGCAUGAUGAUGAGCUGACGAUCAGCGUGGGUGAGGUCAUCACCAACAUCAGGAAGGAGGAUGGAGGCUGGUGGGAGGGACAGAUCAACGGCAGGAGAGGAAAUAAAGAAGGAUGUGAAGAAAGACCUUCUCUCUAACAAAGCUCCUGAGAAGCCCAUGCAUGAUGUGUCCAGUGGAAACUCUUUGCUUUCUUCUGAAACCAUUUUAAGAACCAAUAAACGAGUUUAUCAUGAAUUCAGUGUUUGGAGAGCGACGGAGACGCCGAUGCCAGGUGGCGUUCAGCUACCUGCCUCAGAAUGACGAUGAGCUUGAGCUGAAAGUCGGGGACAUCAUAGAGGUUGUAGGAGAG
RNAcentral lists this long non-coding RNA (374 nucleotides) under Rattus norvegicus (Norway rat). RNAcentral describes it as "long non-coding RNA NONRATT030968". The record is from RNAcentral. Lineage: Eukaryota; Metazoa; Chordata; Mammalia; Rodentia; Muridae.